AGGGAGGCCAAAGGUGCAAAGGAUUAGAGGGUGCAUGGAAAAAAGAACCACAAAGAAAAAGGUUAAAUGCAGCAGAUGCCGUGCACUAGGCCAUUUUGCAAAAACUUGCAAAGAGCCAGAGGUUGGUGAAGAUGGCGCAAAAGGGUUGAGCAGGAAUAAAAGGAAGAAGUGCACAGAAGAUAAUGCUGGCCCCUCCAACGUGAAGAAACAGAAGACUCAACAGAAAAAGAAAGGUACCCCAAAAAGAAGAAGACCCCUGCAAAGAAGAAGCAAAAGAGGGCAGAGGCAAACCCACCUCCCACUGUUGUCACCAGCAUCCGAAAAUUAGUGUUUGAAGGACAGUUUGCAUGAGAGUGUUGUGUUAUAUGCCUCCAUGCUUUGGCUUUUGGGACAAAAAUUGUAAGGUUAUGUUGUGCUUUUGGACACAAAAACUUGUAAUGUGUCUCCUUAUGCUUCUGGCCACAAAACUUGUAAUGUCUGUGUACUAGAAUUCUGUUAAGUCUGUGAUUUGGAUAUCUGAGACACAAGUGAUGUCAAAUAUUUAUGUCAAAUAUUUCUGUCAACUAUAUCAUGACCAAGUGAUGUCAAA
Panicum virgatum (switchgrass) is the source of this 589-nucleotide long non-coding RNA. RefSeq lists it as uncharacterized. The record is from RefSeq and is a predicted model, not a curated record. The transcript is spliced from 2 exons. NCBI's taxonomy places the organism in Eukaryota, Viridiplantae, Streptophyta, Magnoliopsida, Poales, Poaceae.